Molecule: long non-coding RNA, 742 nt
Organism: Acanthochromis polyacanthus (spiny chromis)
Lineage: Eukaryota; Metazoa; Chordata; Actinopteri; Pomacentridae
Exons: 4
Source: RefSeq, a predicted model, not a curated record
AGCUGCAGGCAACGAUAGCACAAUCAAUACCGAGGCAGAGGUGAGGCUUGACUUCAACAGCUCUGUGCCACUGGCACAACUUCCGACUCCUGAGCAGGUGGCACAGACCUUGGUGGACGCCAUCCUCAAUUCCAACAGUACCCUCAAUGUCAGCAUUCUACCGGACUCCAUCCAAGUACUUGGAUCUACGUUGGCUGGAGCAAGGACACCUGCUGGAUCAACAACAAGUGUUCCCUUUACUACUGAGGCUCCUCCACCAUCCGUGACCUUGCGAGCAACACUGGAAGAAACGUUUGUGGCAGGAUUGGCAAACAGAAGCAGUGAAGAAUUCCGGAGCCUUGAGGAAACAGUCAUACGAUUGUGGGACGACAUCUACAUGGCUCGACUUGGCUCCCUGUUCAUCGGCACUGCCGUCAUCGUGUUCAGGCCAGCUGCAGGCAACGAUAGCACAAUCAAUACCGAGGCAGAGGUGAGGCUUGACUUCAACAGCUCUGUGCCACUGGCACAACUUCCGACUCCUGAGCAGGUGGCACAGACCUUGGUGGACGCCAUCCUCAAUUCCAACAGUACCCUCAAUGUCAGCAUUCUACCGGACUCCAUCCAAGUACUUGGUGAGUAAAGUGUAGCUACACACUUGUCAUGAGUUGGUCUUCAAUCCGGAACUACAUGGUACUUCAUGCAUGGUCCAUCUGCCGGUGUCUGUGUCAAGAUUUUGCCCUUCCGUUGCUCGUUUUAAGCACAA